This 497-nucleotide ribosomal RNA is filed under the name uncultured bacterium. RNAcentral's name for it is "partial 16S ribosomal RNA". It matches the Rfam family "Bacterial small subunit ribosomal RNA", at positions 28 to 507 of the family's 1533-position model. The record is from RNAcentral.
GAUGAACGCUGGCGGCGUGCCUAAUACAUGCCAGUCGAGCGGACGGACGAGAAGCUUGCUUCUCUGAUGUUAGCGGCGGACGGGUGAGUAACACGUGGAUAACCUACCUAUAAGACUGGGAUAACUUCGGGACACCGGAGCUAAUACCGGAUGAUAUUUUGAACCGCAUGGUUCAAAAGUGAAAGACGGUCUUGCUGUCACUUAUAGAUGGAUACGCGCUGCAUUAGCUAGUUGGUAAGGUAACGGCUUACCAAGGCUACGAUGCAUAGCCGACCUGAGAGGGUGAUCGGCCACACUGGAACGGAGACACGGUCCAGACUCCUACGGGAGGCAGCAGUAGGGAAUCGUCCGCAAUGGGCGAAAGCCUGACGGAGCAACGCCGCGUGAGUGAUGAAGGUCUUCGGAUCGGAAAACUCUGUUAUUAGGGAAGAACAUAUGUGUAAGUAACUGUGCACAUCUUGACGGUACCUAAUCAGAAAGCCACGGCUAACUACGUG